This is a long non-coding RNA of Neofelis nebulosa (Clouded leopard), 1431 nucleotides long. RefSeq lists it as uncharacterized. Lineage: Eukaryota; Metazoa; Chordata; Mammalia; Carnivora; Felidae. The record is from RefSeq and is a predicted model, not a curated record. The transcript is spliced from 4 exons.
CCUCGAUGCCCACAGGCGAUUGUUCAGUACUUCCCACGCCUGACACUUGUCUUUGAGUAAGUCUGGUGGCGCUCUGGCCGGCCCCGCAACAGCGGGACUGUGUCUUGUGAUAUGAAGAGGUUCUUUUCCUAACCAUAUAUGUCUCCCCAAGAGCACCAAUAAAUAAUGUGGUUGCUCUGCCUGGGUUGUCUUUCCCUAGUUGGCCCAGGAGCCCUCUGGCCCCUGCUCGCGGCUUCUCCUGUUUCAAUUUCCAUGUGCUCUCCGAUUUGUAACUCAAGGAGCUCCCAGGCUUAGGAACAGAUGACGAGCUGGCCACUCCUGGCUGUGGCACCUGGGGAAGGGGCGAUGGGCAAUGACUUGCAGGCAUGCUCCCGGCUCCCUGGCCCCGGCUGCCGUGACACACUGCAAGUUGACUUUCGCAGGGUCCCUGGACUUCGAGGUGCUACUGUCUGGCAUCUCCUUCAAGGGAAAGCCAGAUCUCCAAACAGCGGCAGAACCAGGAAUGUAGAGCCCAGUGAGUGACUAGGAGUCAGUGGGGCUCUCUACCUGCCCAUCUCAUCCAGGGCACAACAGAGCCUGGCCUGGAGGACAGUGUCCCCGCUCAGCUCUGCCAGUCAGACUGACACUAUCAUCUCAACCUUAGUGGGGAUGGAUUUAGCAAGCCAAAGCUCCCUGGAAGAGGAAAUUCCUUUCCUGCAGAGCUCUCCAGGAGAAGCAGAGAAAGAUCUCAGCGCUCAGAGAUUAGCUGAGAUUGCUCUGGAGGCAUGUGAUGAUGGUCAUAAUAGCACCAAGGAAUGACAUACUGUUGAUUUGCUCUCAGGCACAGUACCAAGCAUUUGACCUGAAUUAUUCAAUCCACACACCAGUCACAUGAGACAGGUGUUUUUAGUUGUCUCCAUUGUACAGAUGAAGAAACUGAGGUGGAGUGGGGUUAAACCACUUGUCAGGGUCAGUACCAGCAUUGGAUCCUUGCAGCCUGACCUGGGGUCCUCGGCUCUGACCAACUUGGUGAUGUUGUCUCUUCCUGGAAGUUCUUACUGAUCACUUAUUGACAGAUCAGGGGUUUCUUUAUGGCAAGGUAUAUACAAAGGAAAGUGCCGAUAGUCUUUUUAUUUUUAAAACCUUCAAAGAAAGCAGAAAAGUUAGAAGCAGAAACAGAAGAAAAAAAGAUUUAGAUCAACUAGUAAUUAUUCAAUAAUUCAAGUUUAGAAAGAUACUAGAUUUGGGGCACCUGGGUGGCUCAGUCGGUUAAGUGUCCGACUUCAGCUCAGGUCAUGAUCUCAGUUUGUGAGUUUGAGCCCCGCAAUCUGUGCUGACAGCUCAGAACCUGGAGACUGCUUUGGAUUCUGUCUCAUUCUCCUCUGCCCCUCCCCCACUUGUGCUCUGUCUCUCUCAGUCUCUCAAAAAUAAAUACAAAUGUAAAAAAAAAUU